UACGAGAGGCGCAAACGUUAUUCGGAAUUACUGGGCUUAAAGAGUUCGUAGGCGGCGCGGUAUGUCGUGCGUGAAAUCUCCCGGCUUAACUGGGAGGGGCCGUGCGAAACUGCCGGGCUUGAGGUCGGAAGGGGAAAGUGGAAUUCCGGGUGUAGUGGUGGAAUACGUAGAUAUCCGGAGGAACACCAGCGGCGAAGGCGGCUUUCUGGUCCGAUACUGACGCUGAGGUGCGAAAGCGUGGGGAGCGAUCCGG
This 253-nucleotide ribosomal RNA is filed under the name uncultured bacterium. Its description in RNAcentral is "partial 16S ribosomal RNA". It matches the Rfam family "Bacterial small subunit ribosomal RNA", at positions 524 to 776 of the family's 1533-position model. The record is from RNAcentral.